CCGUUCUUAAACUCCACCAAAAGCAUUAAAACAUCAUCCACAAUGGUGAAGAGGAUAAGAAACAAAUAAUCGCAUUGUCUAACAGCUAAUCGACACGAGGAAUAGGGAUUCGGUAGUAAUUAAUACACAUUUAGCUAAGGAAGGAAAAUGAGCAUGGGCAAUUGAUCUUUAUUAAUCUAUUCACUUGGGUACAUCCACUUUAAUAACAAAGAAUCUGUCCUGGUUUCAUUUGGAUUACCAAAAGGAUCUUCUUUGCAUGCCCCAGGGAAGAUUACAUUUCUGAACUCCAAUUCAAGCAUAAAAUCGAUGCUGAUGGACUGAAAUGGCGAGAUUCAGACCAAAUAAUGUCGAAAUCCCAAAUUGAUUGAGUAAAGAUUGUCUUUUAUUCCAAUUACCAUAGAUAAGAUAUUGUGAUUUAUUAUAAUUGUAGGAGAUUUAUUUUUUAUUUUUUCCUUUUCCAUGUAUUCUGCUUGUACUAUAAAAGGACCAACUCACUGUACAUUAUUUGUGAGAAAAAAUAAAAGUUCUCUCCCGAGUUUUAUUUUCAUGGUAUCAGAGCCAUACCUAUAGAAAUAGACGCUAAAUCUUCAAUUCUCGGUGUCAAUAACUCUGUUUUGACGGUUCUCUUGCAAGUUUCAAGGUCAAUCAGUGUCUGGUCGACGACACCGUCCUUUGCCUGCCUCCGCCUCGGUGGUUGGAGUUUUGCAUCAGAAUUUUUGACGUCUGUUGGUGUUCGACGCAAUUUUCAGCGUCUCUCUGGGUGUAUUGACGCGACUUCCAAUGUCUCUUGAGCAAUAAGAGGAUAUUCCAACUCUCCUCUGACUGCAUUCGAUGCUAUUCCGACAUCACUGUGGGCUCGCAUCUUUGUGGGUAUUACCGUGACUGAUUUUGGUGAACCACUGUUGGAUUUUGGGCUAGUAUUUGUUGGGCCUAAGUUAGUUUGGGCCAUUGUAUUAUUCUUCUUCUUGGUGGAUUAAAUUUAUUUGGGCUAAUUUUCACCAUGCCAUCAGAGAUAUCAUGUUCAUUGGCCCGCAAAUGUAAUUUCUUUAGAGCCCGAAAUUUUACUGCACUCGCUAAAGUGCCAUGGAUGAUUAACUCAGGGGCAUUCGAUCAUAUGACAAGCUCUUACAAUUUGUUUGUUACAUACUCACUACGUGCGAGUAAUCUUAAAGUUAAGAUUGCAGAUGAUUCUCUCUCGACAAUUGCAGGAAAAUGGAGUAUUCAAAUUUCUGACUCUAUAACUUUAGAAUCGGUCCUUCAUGUUCCAAAUUUAUCGUACAAUUUAUUAUCUAUAAGCCAGCUAACAAAAACUUCCAAUUGCUCCGUUAAAUUCUUUCCAUCACAUUGUAUUUUUCAGGACCUAUAAUCGAGGGGAAAACGAUUGGUAGUGCUAAAGAAAGUGAAGGACUCUACUACUUUGAGAAAGUUGAUGUGAGUAACCAGUGUCAACUUAAAAUUUGUGAUUCUGUAUCUGUUCUUAGUGAUUGUGAAAUUAUGUUAUGGCAUUUUAG
This 1511-nucleotide long non-coding RNA is filed under the name Olea europaea subsp. europaea. The record is from RNAcentral. Lineage: Eukaryota; Viridiplantae; Streptophyta; Magnoliopsida; Lamiales; Oleaceae.